UUAAUUGAAGAGUUUGAUCAUGGCUCAGAUUGAACGCUGGCGGCAGGCCUAACACAUGCAAGUCGAGCGGUAACAGAUUGAUAGCUUGCUAUCAAUGCUGACGAGCGGCGGACGGGUGAGUAAUGCCUGGGAAUAUACCCUGAUGUGGGGGAUAACUAUUGGAAACGAUAGCUAAUACCGCAUAAUCUCUUCUCUUUUACGAGAUGGGAGCAAAGAGGGGGACCUUCGGGCCUCUCGCGUCAGGAUUAGCCCAGGUGGGAUUAGCUAGUUGGUGGGGUAAUGGCUCACCAAGGCGACGAUCCCUAGCUGGUCUGAGAGGAUGAUCAGCCACAC
This 333-nucleotide ribosomal RNA is filed under the name Photobacterium phosphoreum. Its description in RNAcentral is "bacterial SSU rRNA". It matches the Rfam family "Bacterial small subunit ribosomal RNA", at positions 1 to 313 of the family's 1533-position model. The record is from RNAcentral. Lineage: Bacteria; Pseudomonadati; Pseudomonadota; Gammaproteobacteria; Vibrionales; Vibrionaceae.